AAUGAACGUUGGCGGCGUGGAUUAGGCAUGCAAGUCGAGCGAGAAUUUGCGAUUGGAAGCUUCGGCCGAAGAAAGUGAAGGAAAGCGGCAAACGGCGUAGUAAGGCGUAGGUACGUACCCUCGGGUCGGGAAUAGCCAUGGGAAACUGUGGGUAAUGCCCGAUAAUCUCUGCGGAGCAAAGGUGUGAUUCCGCCGGAGGAGCGGCUUACGUGAUAUUAGCUAGUUGGUGGGGUAAUGGCCUACCAAGGCAACGAUGUCUAGGGGGUGUGAGAGCAUGGCCCCCACGACCGGAACUGAGACACUGUCCGGACACCUACGGGUGGCUGCAGUCGAGAAUCUUCCGCAAUGGGCGAAAGCCUGACGGAGCGACGCCGCGUGGUGGAUGAAGGCCCUUGGGUUGUAAACACCUGUCAGAGGGGAUGAAAUCAUGGUUGGCAAUCCUUCCAUGUUGACAGAGCCUCAGAGGAAGCACGGGCUAAGUACGUGCCAGCAGCCGCGGUAAAG
RNAcentral lists this ribosomal RNA (504 nucleotides) under uncultured bacterium. RNAcentral describes it as "bacterial SSU rRNA". It matches the Rfam family "Bacterial small subunit ribosomal RNA", at positions 29 to 525 of the family's 1533-position model. The record is from RNAcentral.